CCUCCUCGAUCUGCUGCGGGCAGAUGAAAUGAAUAUGCGCGUCGAAGCCGCCGGCGGUCAGGAUGCGGCCCUCGCCGCCGAUGAUUUCGGUGCCAGGCCCGAUGAUGAUGGUCACGCCGGCCUGCGUAUCCGGAUUGCCGGCCUUGCCGAUGGCCGCGAUGCGCCCGUCCUUGAUGCCGAUAUCGGCCUUGUAGAUGCCUCCGGCAUCUACAACGAGAGCGUUGGUGAUGACCGUAUCCACGGCCCCUUGCGCCCGGGAAACCUGGCUCUGGCCCAUGCCGUCGCGGAUA
This 290-nucleotide small RNA is filed under the name Mesorhizobium alhagi CCNWXJ12-2. RNAcentral describes it as "5' ureB small RNA". It matches the Rfam family "5' ureB small RNA". The record is from Rfam by way of RNAcentral. Lineage: Bacteria; Pseudomonadati; Pseudomonadota; Alphaproteobacteria; Hyphomicrobiales; Phyllobacteriaceae.